AUUCAAAAAACCCGCCUUUGUGUGUUCUCCCGUCAUGCAUCGCGGCCUCGAAAAGCCUGGAACGAUUAGUGGAAUAAUGCAAUACAGAAAAUAAAUAAAAAUCACAGGAGUGAUAUUAUUUCAAAAGGACGACAUAUUCAGGCUGAGGGGAGCAGAGGAGCCUCGGAGCUUGGCGCCACUUUCAAAUCCUCCACUGACACAGAAUGACAGUCCGCCUUCUAACAACUUUUUAAAAACUACUUUUUUUUUUACUCUCAAGGAAUAUUCAACACGCUAUUUACGGAGCAUUUACCCACACCCAUGGAAGUGCCCCCCCCCUUUCCCGGCUCACCCUCGCUGUCUUCCUUGCCGUCUGGCAGGCUUACAAGCUGAGCACUGGCUGCCUGCAUAGGGCUGUGGCCCAGGCAAGAGCCCCCCCCUCGUCUCUCACAAAUUCAUUUUUAUCUGCCCUCCACCCAGCCCCCACAGACUUUCACUCGCACACCUGCCCCGCACACACCCUCGGGGGUGCCCUCAAUUUUUUCCCAGAUUUUUCUGUGCUCCGUGUGCUCAUGUAGAAAGUGAUGGCCGGGGGAAAAAGGCUGCAGCUUCAUAGUUUUUUAAGGCCUGCCGAGCCUCCUUGCUGGCUCAGUGUGCGCAGCCGGGGCUCCAGCGAGGAGGUGCCGAGGAGCAGCACACAGCCAGGAGGUCAACAUCCUUUUUUUUUUUUUUCUUCUUUCACCCCACACCCUACCCCACCCUACCCCACUCCACCCUCCCUUUUCUCCUUCUUGCUUUGAUCAGAGUGUUUGCAUUGACCUUGUGGAACAUCUUUGUGGCAUCAAUGCAAACAUUGUGUUUUUGUUGUUGUAUUGUCAGGUUGCGUUAAUGUCGUACAUCAUAGUUCAUUCAUUGUUGUAGAAUGUCAGCAGCAGACGGUAAGUGUGUGUGUUUUUUUCCUCUGUUAAAAUGGCCUCUGAAUGAGAGCAGGAGGCCUGUUUCUUCUUUUUCUUCUUCUAUGUUUCUUUCUUUCUGACUUUCCCUCCACCGCAAUGUUACUUGCACUCUUUUUUCCCCCCCUUUACCCCUCCUCCAUUUUUUUUUUCUUUGUAACCCCCCCUCCCCAGUCACCUUCAGUCAUCUGUGCCAACUGAUCCAGCGGGACUUCUUUCUAUUUUACAGUUUUCUUUUUUUUUUAAUGUCAUUAAUUUGUAUAUGUGAAUAUAUUAUUGCCUUGUACUUUUCAUUUUCUAACAUUGAACUUUUUGAUGUGUUUAUUAGGGACCUGCCUUGCGUGGGGGAAAAAUAGACAAGUGUGGUGCACCCAGGCCUUGUCUUCAUUUUUAAAGUUAGAAAAAAAAACACAUUCAUUUAUUUUCUGAUUUCAUGCAAAAUGUCAUUUUUAAUUGAGAUUGAAUUUUCCCAUUUAUCUGUCGGUAAUGAAAUACAGGGUUGUGAAACCUUUUGCCACACUUUGAAAAAUGAACAUUUUUGUUUAUUUAUUUAUUUAUUUUUGAAACAGGUUAAAACCAACCCAUAUAGAUAUGCUAAAAAUUUCUAUACAUACAAAUAUAAAGCAGCCUGCAUGUUAGUGUUACAGGUGACAAAGUGUAUUAUUAUUAUUAUUAUUUGUAUUAGAAGCAUUGACAUUUUGUCUUGUUCUCCUUCCAUUAUCACUUUGGACACCCCUGCUCCAAUAGCUGGUGAAAAGAAAAAGAUGACUUAAAGUUGAUGUGUGUGAAAUAGGAGUGUUGCUGCUUACUGCUUGAUUCCACACUUCAUGACAAGUCAGAGGAACAGCAGUGGUUAUGGUUCACGUCACAUUUGAAAGCCAAGUUUCAACAGAUAUCAUUAUAAUUAAUAAUAUUAAUAGUACUAGUCCAUCAUUUGGCCUACUGACUGCCCCCAACUGUUUUUAGAUGAUUUGACUUUUUUUUUUUUUUAAAAAGGGAAACAUAUAUACCGAUACCCAUACAAAUGUAUAUAUGGAUUCCAAAUAAGCACUGUACAUUUGUUUUAUGAUAUAUUUUAAAAUAUAUACACAUAUUUAGUAUGCUGUUUAAUUAAGUUAUUUCCUGGAACAUCAGUGUCUGUGUAUUUAUACUAAUACUACUACUACUACUACUACCACCACCAGGAAAAUAUUCUGCAACAUUUCUGGAAAAUUCUAUUAAAUUAAUAUGUCUUGUUAACAAGUAGAAAAAAUAUGGAGGUGAAAUGAAUACAAUGUUCUUCAUACACUGUGUGUCAUGACUUCCUGAAGUGUGUGUGUGUGUGUGUGUGUGUGUGUGUGUGGGGUGGGUACCCCUCCUGUCUUCCAGCCCUUUCUGCACAGUUCACUUUUUUUUUUUUUAAAUGUCAUCUAAAACUAUUUUGUUUUUUUAUGCCAUAUGUGUUAUGUGUGUACACCAGGAUUUUUCACAUGAAUUGACAACAAUUUCAUUUUAAAGAUGUGCACAUAUAGGAAAAAGUAUGGGAAUACCAAUCAAAUAAAAAAAAAUCUUUAAUUUAAUACAGUCCCAAUUAUAUGUAUAUGUAUUAAAAAAAAAGUCAAUUGUGUUGUAUGAAAUAAUGCCGGUGUCUUUGUGUAGCUGAAGUGAAGAACAAGAAGAGUGUGUGUUGUGUGCUGGAUGAUAUUGAUGAUGGUCACAAAGUGAUGUGGGG
Non-coding RNA from Doryrhamphus excisus (bluestripe pipefish), 2643 nucleotides. The record is from RefSeq and is a predicted model, not a curated record. NCBI's taxonomy places the organism in Eukaryota, Metazoa, Chordata, Actinopteri, Syngnathiformes, Syngnathidae.